Molecule: ribosomal RNA, 395 nt
Filed under: uncultured bacterium
Lineage: Bacteria
Description: bacterial SSU rRNA
Rfam family: Bacterial small subunit ribosomal RNA
Source: RNAcentral
AUUGAACGCUGGCGGAAUGCUUUACACAUGCAAGUCGAGCGGCAGCGCGGGGCAACCUGGCGGCGAGCGGCGAACGGGUGAGUAAUACAUCGGAACGUACCCAGUUGUGGGGGAUAGCCCGGCGAAAGCCGGAUUAAUACCGCAUACGACCUGAGGGUGAAAGGGGGGGGAUCGCAAGACCUCUCGCAGUUGGAGCGGCCGAUGGCGGAUUAGCUAGUUGGUGAGGUAAAGGCUCACCAAGGCGACGAUCCGUAGCUGGUCUGAGAGGACGACCAGCCACACUGGAACUGAGACACGGUCCAGACUCCUACGGGAGGCAGCAGUGGGGAAUUUUGGACAAUGGGGGGCAACCCUGAUCCAGCCAUUCCGCGUGAGUGAAGAAGGGCCUUCGGGUU